UCUUAUUAUUCAAUAUCUUUAAAUCCUUAGAAGCUGGAAUGAUCUGAUUCAGGGACAUAUGAUCUCUUUCCUUGGAAGAGUCCAGGAGCCUCAAUUUUACCCAUGUCUAGUUACAUCAUUUCUCUUACCCCACCCUCUCUGUUAUAGAAAUUAUUUUGCUGCCCAUCUGGCUUUCUCAUUACCACCUUGAAUUCGCAUCGGACUUUCUCAUUACCACCUUGAGUCCCCAUAAGUAGUAACUACUUCAGUAGCCUUCAAGGAGCUAAGACCUGCUGGGCAGUCCUCCCAUGCCAGUUUAAACUGGGUUUCUGCUGAGGACAUGGAUUCUAUGUUUAAAAACCAUGGAAAUGUGAGAAGCCACUGGAUGGAAAAGAAGGCCAAGCCUAAGUAGAAGGGGGUCUCCCUUUUUGGAUUGAGUCUAUGCCCUUUUAGAAACUCUGGGCUUGUAGUAUGGCACAAAGUGUGGUGUGGGCAUUCUUCUGUGUUUAUUUCAUAUGAAAAUAGUUUUCUGUAGAUAGUCACAGUGCAUUGAACUGAGAAAUCAGUCUUGGACACCACGGCGGAAGAUGUCUUGGCUAAGGUACAUGCUGGGCCCUCUUUCCACUGCCUAUUUGCUUUGCUUCUGGAUGAACUCCUUGAGAUAAGGGACAGUCUCAAUUAUCUUUGAGUUCUGAGGACCUAGAACCAUACCUGCUACACAGUUGGGACUAAAUAUUUCAUUGGAUGAAUGAGUGGGCGAUCAAAUGAACAAUUGAAUGAAUAUUCAUGUAGUAAGUAAAUGGAGACUAGGACCCUCCUGAUUUUCUCCCUCUUUAGAAGCCAGGAGAGAUGUUCCAUUUUGCUGUAUACUUCAAAGCCUUUCACUGUGUUUCAUCAGAACAAAUUACUUAUCCGUAUAAUCCUCCCAUGCACAUAUUUUAUCUGGUGCAUAAGCAAGAAAUCACUUUAUUUAUUGUAAUUAUUUAACAAUUCACAUGUGCUUUCAAUGUCAUUUCUCCACUAACCAAAAGAACUAGACAUUUGUUACUUGAUCAGACUAGGUAAAUAGUAUUGCCUGAAAAUUUUUGAGGUGUUGGUUCUCACUCUUCUCCUAGCAUAGCAUCACCAUCACUACCUCCAAAGCGGCUCUCUGAAAACAGGUAGAUGGGGGUGAAUCACAGGAAACCUGAAUACCACUCACUGGCUUUAAAAUAUGUCUAUACGUAAGUGGUUGAGUGUAAUGAGGAUCUCCAUCCAAGAUAUAAUGCACAUGAUUAACAAUAAGAGGUCGCAUGUAUCCAGUGUUUUUAAAGUACCAGGCACUGUUCUAAGCUCCAUAUAUGUUUAAAGCCAUUUAAAAUUUAUAAUAACCCUAUUAGGUGGAGAGAAACCGAGGUGGGAGGUAUUAAGCGAACAUGCUAAGGAGUAGAUGACAAACAAGCAAGCUUAGAAUCCUUACCCUCUUGGCUCCCUGCACCGUCCCCAGAACAAUCACCCUAUACUGCAUGGCUUGGAAAGAGCAGCAAGCCUUUGCUGUAUCAAUCCAGUGAUCUCCAAACCCAGAGACGCACCUCCAGACACAGAGCUCCUAAAUGGAGACCAGACAACUACGACUCUGAAAAGAAUACUAAUGCAGUCAGCUUAGAGGUCAGGCUUAACAAAUACAAUUUCCAAAAGCAAUGAAAAAUAAAGGCUUUUCAACUUAGGAAAAUCCUCCUUGGCUCUAGGGCCCCAGUGUGGUAACUUGGGCCUCCAAUGGGCUCAUUUCUUCAGCACAAGACUAUUACAUGACCUUUAAAGGCUGAGAAUGUCACAGAAUAGAGAUCACAUUCCCUGGGCAGUUGAGCACCCAUGGCGACCCUCAAAAGACAUGCCAGCUGAGUUCACACAGGGAGCACAGUUUGGAGGGCUGGGGCCAUGCUGCGAUGGCAUUUCAAUGAAUAACCUCCCCAGAAAGUCUCAAAAAAAUAAAAGAUAGAUGAAGAGCCAAAAUGCAGUCUCUCUUCUUCCCUGAAUGUCUCUUCCCUGUGUCCUCUCUUCUUCUUACAAGGAUACCAGUUAAGGGAUUUAGGACCCUUCCUAACCCAGUAUGACUUCAUUUAACUCAACAAAUUAGAUCUGCAAAGAUCCUCUGUCCAAAUAAGGUCACAUUCUGAGGUUCCAGGGGAACAUUAUAUUUUAGAGGGACCCUAUUAUCCCGCUACAAGCAUCAUAAUAGCUACCCUUUGUUUUCUACAGACAAAAAAAAAGGAGAGGUUUGGAUCUGAAUUUUGUAUCGGAAACUCAAUACGAAUGUAUGUCUCAUCUUCUUAUAUGAGAGUGUAACGUGGAGCAUGUUGUGGUAUCUUUUGAACUAUCGGUUGUCCAUGAGAUAAAAAAUAGAAAGUAACUCUGUAUGCAAAAAUAGAAAUUGUCAUGUUUGUCUUUUGGUUUCUAGCAAAAUCAUGGGUUCAAUGGGCAGCUCAGUAGUCACCUAAUAUUCCUCAAAUGAAGCUGUUGACUAUGCUGAGAAUAAAUGCAGCACCAGCUAAAGGUCCAAUGAAAUACACCUGGGGCAUCUAGAUUCAGCACUUUGAUGAUCCAUGGCUCUAAUUUUUCUCUCCUGAGAGUGAGGAUAUGAUUGCAUGCUGCUUGGUUUGGUUUUCCAAAGAACACCUUUAGACUCUUUAUAUACUCAUAAUGGCAGGUGACUUGGUUGAUUUCUGUAGGUAGUCUAUUUACACAAUUAAACUAGACUAUCAUUGAGUCAAAGGCUCAUCUAAUUAGCUGGCAUAAUAAAUCAAACACAAGUAAUUUGGUUGUCCUCAAUGCCACAGCACUUUUUUAAGGUCACUGCCAAGGUGUGUGUAAUUAGCAGCUUGUCUCCCUGAAGGAAUAGUCUGGCCUGACUAAAUUGUUCCAUGGUGGGAGAAGUAAUUUGGCAACAACCUGCUGUGCAGUUAUAAUAAACAGCCUCACUGUUAUCUUCCAUUUUUUUUGCUGCCUAAAUGAUUUUCUCUCUCUCUUUUGGUUCUUAAAUCAGUUCUUUGAUUCAAAGAAAUUUGCCUUUUCAUCCCAUUUGCUUUAGUUACAUAUUUGAAGCAUCCAUCAACACUGUAUCUUUUUUCCAUUUUAAAAAAUUUGAUUGUAGUUCAUUUGCAAUGUUGUGCUAAUUUCUCCUGUACAGCAAAAUGACUCGGUUAUACAUACACACAUAACCGUUAUUUUCAGAUUAUGUUCCC
This 3200-nucleotide long non-coding RNA is filed under the name Sus scrofa (pig). RNAcentral's name for it is "lncRNA (ENSSSCG00015022455.1)". The record is from RNAcentral. Lineage: Eukaryota; Metazoa; Chordata; Mammalia; Artiodactyla; Suidae.